UACGAACUGUGCGAACGUUAUUCGGAAUCACUGGGCUUACAGGGUGCGUAGGCGGUUCAUUAAGUCAGGUGUGAAAGCCCUCGGCUCAACCGGGGAAUGGCGCUUGAAACUGAUGGACUUGAGCGAGGCAGGGGUGCGUGGAACUUCUGGUGGAGCGGUGAAAUGUGUAGAGAUCAGAGGGAACGCCGGCAGCGAAAGCGGCGCACUGGGCCUUGUCUGACGCUGAGGCACGAAAGCUAGGGAAGUGAACGGG
RNAcentral lists this ribosomal RNA (253 nucleotides) under uncultured bacterium. Its description in RNAcentral is "partial 16S ribosomal RNA". It matches the Rfam family "Bacterial small subunit ribosomal RNA", at positions 524 to 776 of the family's 1533-position model. The record is from RNAcentral.